GUAAAUAUUAAAAUAUGAGUCACACUAACGCUGGGGUUUGUCGUUUAGGAUCUCCAGUGAUAUAUAAAAAGUUUAUAUCACAUGGAGUAUUAAUUAAAAAUAUUAAGUUUUUAUCAAAUAAAAUAAUAAUAAGUCAAUGAAAGCCAACUGGUUCACUCGGUAAAGAUUAUUCAGUUCCAAAGUCUAAUAUCCCCACUCUUCACGUUCAAGCCCUAGCUUCCCCUCUCUCUAUAUAUAAGCUAUUCUAGCUACGGAUCUUUUCAAUUCUC
Molecule: long non-coding RNA, 269 nt
Filed under: Brassica napus (rape)
Lineage: Eukaryota; Viridiplantae; Streptophyta; Magnoliopsida; Brassicales; Brassicaceae
Description: long non-coding RNA (BNAP_LNC014881)
Source: RNAcentral